UACGUAGGAUGCAAGCGUUGUCCGGAAUUAUUGGGCGUAAAGAGCGAGCAGGCGGUUUGGAAAGUUGGACGUGAAAUUUUAGGGCUUAACCCUAAAGGGUCGUCCAAAACUCCCAGACUAGAGUGCAGGAGAGGAAAGCGGAAUUCCCGGUGUAGUGGUGAAAUGCGCAGAUAUCAGGAGGAACACCGAUGGCGAAGGCAGGUCUCUGGGCCAUAACUGACGCUGAGAAGCGAAAGCAUGGGGGAGCGAACAGG
This 254-nucleotide ribosomal RNA is filed under the name uncultured bacterium. RNAcentral describes it as "partial 16S ribosomal RNA". It matches the Rfam family "Bacterial small subunit ribosomal RNA", at positions 524 to 776 of the family's 1533-position model. The record is from RNAcentral.